CAGCAGCCGCGGUAAGACGUAGGGGGCGAGCGUUGUCCGGAAUUACUGGGCGUAAAGAGCGUGUAGGCGGGCUGUUAAGUCAGGUGUGAAAGACCGCAGCUCAACUGCGGGGUGGCAUCUGAUACUGGCAGUCUUGAGGGCAGGAGAGGGAAGUGGAAUUCCUGGUGUAGCGGUGAAAUGCGUAGAUAUCAGGAGGAACACCAGUGGCGAAGGCGGCUUCCUGGACUGACCCUGACGCUGAGACGCGAAAGCGUGGGGAGCAAACAGGAUUAGAUACCCUGGUAGUCCACGCUGUAAACGAUGGGCACUAGGUGUAGGAGGUAUCGACCCCUUCUGUGCCGCAGCUAACGCAAUAAGUGCCCCGCCUGGGGAGUACGGUCGCAAGGCUGAAACUUAAAGGAAUUGGCGGG
This 410-nucleotide ribosomal RNA is filed under the name uncultured microorganism. RNAcentral's name for it is "bacterial SSU rRNA". It matches the Rfam family "Bacterial small subunit ribosomal RNA", at positions 509 to 917 of the family's 1533-position model. The record is from RNAcentral.